This 46-nucleotide ribosomal RNA is filed under the name uncultured fungus. RNAcentral describes it as "partial 5.8S ribosomal RNA". Lineage: Eukaryota; Fungi. The record is from RNAcentral.
AACUUUCAACAACGGAUCUCUUGGUUCUGCAUCGAUGAAGAACGCA